UUCUUUUUUUUUUUGUGCUGGGAUUGAACCCAGACCCUUGUGCGUACCAGGCAAGCUCUCUACCAACUGAGCUAUAUCCCCAGCCCCAACAUGGAGAUUCUUGAGUCCUCUGGAAAAACACUAUCAGGAAACUCUCUGCGCUGACAAUUUAGCUUAACAAGCUUGCUUGUGCAGGUCCCAGGGACUCCCCUGUACCUGUGGCUAGAACCCCGGGGAGGCUGUGGGCCUUUAAUUGGAACCAUGUGUCCUUCCAGCAAGCAGCAGGUGACCAGGCCAACUUAGAGAGGGCUGCUCAUUAGAGCAAGCAUGCCCUUUGACCCCUUCAUCUGACUUCUGGGAACACAUCCCAAAGAAAUAACCCCAAAUACGGACAAAUAAAUGGUCUUCGCAGUAUUUCCUAUAACAGCAGAGGAACUGGAGUCAACCCGAACGGCCCACAGGGGGACCAACUGAUGUUCCUCACAGCUGACGGCGCCUGUCACCCGCUGCGGAGGGACAGCCAGGGAGGCUCUCAGACCACGGGGUGUUUGUGACAGAAUGUUAAUUAAAGAAAUCAGGUUGCAGAGCUCUGCAUCCCACGACGAGCUGAGUAAACUACGCACGUGGAAUACUGGAAACAGCCUGGCCUACUCCCUGUGCCCGGGGACGGGACUGUGGGGGGGGGGCAGUUUCUGCCUCCACGUUCCCGGUUUUAGGCAAUGUGGUCAUGGUUAAAAGCACAUUAUAAAUUUUU
RNAcentral lists this long non-coding RNA (733 nucleotides) under Marmota monax (woodchuck). The record is from RNAcentral. Lineage: Eukaryota; Metazoa; Chordata; Mammalia; Rodentia; Sciuridae.